Molecule: ribosomal RNA, 962 nt
Filed under: Moraxellaceae bacterium
Lineage: Bacteria; Pseudomonadati; Pseudomonadota; Gammaproteobacteria; Moraxellales; Moraxellaceae
Description: bacterial SSU rRNA
Rfam family: Bacterial small subunit ribosomal RNA
Source: RNAcentral
AAAAGCAAUUUAAAGCAGGGAAGGAGAGGGUUAAUGGGUUAAUACCCCUUUAGAUUAGACGUUACCUGGCAGAAUAAGCACCGGGUUAACUCUGUGCCAGCAGCCGCGGUAAUACAGAGGGUGCGAGCGUUAAUCGGAAUUACUGGGCGUAAAGCGAGUGUAGGUGGCUCAUUAAGUCACAUGUGAAAUCCCCGGGCUUAACCUGGGAACUGCAUGUGAUACUGGUGGUGCUAGAAUAUGUGAGAGGGAAGUAGAAUUCCAGGUGUAGCGGUGAAAUGCGUAGAGAUCUGGAGGAAUACCGAUGGCGAAGGCAGCUUCCUGGCAUAAUAUUGACACUGAGAUUCGAAAGCGUGGGUAGCAAACAGGAUUAGAUACCCUGGUAGUCCACGCCGUAAACGAUGUCUACUAGCCGUUGGGGUCCUUGAGACUUUAGUGGCGCAGUUAACGCGAUAAGUAGACCGCCUGGGGAGUACGGCCGCAAGGUUAAAACUCAAAUGAAUUGACGGGGGCCCGCACAAGCGGUGGAGCAUGUGGUUUAAUUCGAUGCAACGCGAAGAACCUUACCUGGUCUUGACAUAGUGAGAAUCCUGUAGAGAUGCGGGAGUGCCUUCGGGAAUUCACAUACAGGUGCUGCAUGGCUGUCGUCAGCUCGUGUCGUGAGAUGUUGGGUUAAGUCCCGCAACGAGCGCAACCCUUUUCCUUAUUUGCCAGCGGGUUAAGCCGGGAACUUUAAGGAUACUGCCAGUGACAAACUGGAGGAAGGCGGGGACGACGUCAAGUCAUCAUGGCCCUUACGACCAGGGCUACACACGUGCUACAAUGGUAGGUACAGAGGGUUGCUACACAGCGAUGUGAUGCUAAUCUCAAAAAGCCUAUCGUAGUCCGGAUUGGAGUCUGCAACUCGACUCCAUGAAGUCGGAAUUGGUAGUAAUCGCAGAUCCGAAAGGUGCGAACAAUACAUC